CUUAAAUUGAAGAGUUUGAUCAUGGCUCAGAUUGAACGCUGGCGGCAGGCCUAACACAUGCAAGGCGAGCGAAAACGA
Molecule: ribosomal RNA, 78 nt
Filed under: Vibrio parahaemolyticus
Lineage: Bacteria; Pseudomonadati; Pseudomonadota; Gammaproteobacteria; Vibrionales; Vibrionaceae
Description: partial 16S ribosomal RNA
Rfam family: Bacterial small subunit ribosomal RNA
Source: RNAcentral